UGGGGAAUAUUGCACAAUGGAGGGAACUCUGAUGCAGCGACGCCGCGUGAACGAAGAAGGCUUUCGAGUCGUAAAGUUCUUUUAUAUGGGAAGAUAAUGACGGUACCAUAAGAAAAAGCCCCGGCUAACUACGUGCCAGCAGCCGCGGUAAUACGUAGGGGGCUAGCGUUGUCCGGAAUCACUGGGCGUAAAGGGUUCGCAGGCGGAAAUGCAAGUCAGGUGUAAAAGGCAGUAGCUUAACUACUGUAAGCAUUUGAAACUGCAUAUCUUGAGAAGAGUAGAGGUAAGUGGAAUUUUUAGUGUAGCGGUGAAAUGCGUAGAUAUUAAAAUGAAUACCGGUGGCGAAGGCGAGUUACUGGGCUCAUUCUGACGCUGAGGAACGAAAGCGUGGGUAGCAAACAGG
Molecule: ribosomal RNA, 403 nt
Filed under: bacterium
Lineage: Bacteria
Description: partial 16S ribosomal RNA
Rfam family: Bacterial small subunit ribosomal RNA
Source: RNAcentral